This 468-nucleotide ribosomal RNA is filed under the name uncultured bacterium. Its description in RNAcentral is "partial 16S ribosomal RNA". It matches the Rfam family "Bacterial small subunit ribosomal RNA", at positions 28 to 507 of the family's 1533-position model. The record is from RNAcentral.
GACGAACGCUGGCGGCGUGCUUAACACAUGCAAGUCGAACGGAAAGGCCCUGCUUUUGUGGGGUGCUCGAGUGGCGAACGGGUGAGUAACCCGUGAGUAACCUGCCCUUGACUUUGGGAUAACUUCAGGAACCUGGGGCUAAUACCGGAUAGGGGCUCCUGCUCCAUGGUGGGGGUUGGAAAGUUUCGGCGGUUGGGGAUGGACUCGCGGCUUAUCAGCUUGUUGGUGGGGUAGUGGCUUACCAAGGCUUUGACGGGUAGCCGGCCUGAGAGGGUGACCGGCCACAUUGGGACUGAGAUACGGCCCAGACUCCUACGGGAGGCAGCAGUGGGGAAUAUUGCACAAUGGGCGGAAGCCUGAUGCAGCAACGCCGCGUGCGGGAUGACGGCCUUCGGGUUGUAAACCGCUUUCGCCUGUGACGAAGCGUGAGUGACGGUAAUGGGUAAAGAAGCACCGGCUAACUACGUG